GGCGAAGCAUUGCUUUCCAAUCCUGCGGCCCUCUGCUUACUUCCCCUUGUGGGUUGUGGCAGGGGAAAGCGGGAGGCGCCUUGCCACGAUAGUCGUAUUAGGUUUUACCGACUCGGCGAAAGUGAAGAGGUUUGCUUUUUAGGAGCAGGCAGCGUCUGGCUUGACAAAAUUCUCAAAGUUUGACCUCAAAUCAGGUAGGAUUACCCGCUGAACUUAAGCAUAUCAAUAAGCGGAGGAAAAGAAACCAACCGGGAUUGCCUUAGUAACGGCGAGUGAAGCGGCAAAAGCUCAAAUUUGAAAUCUGGUACCUUUCGGUGCCCGAGUUGUAAUUUGGAGAAAGUGAUUCUGGGACUGGCCCUUGCCUAUGUUCCUUGGAACAGGACGUCAUAGAGGGUGAGAACCCCGUGAGGCGAGGUGAUCCAGUUCUUUGUAGAACGCUUUCGAAGAGUCGAGUUGUUUGGGAAUGCAGCUCUAAGUGGGUGGUAAAUUCCAUCUAAAGCUAAAUACAGGCGAGAGACCGAUAGCGAACAAGUACAGUGAUGGAAAGAUGAAAAGAACUUUGAAAAGAGAGUGAAAAAGGACGUGAAAUUGUUGAAAGGGAAGGGCAUUUGAUCAGACAUGGUGUUUUGUGCCCCUCGCUCCUCGUGGGUGGGGGAAUCUCGCAGCUCACUGGGCCAGCAUCAGUUUUGGCGGCAGGAUAAAUCUCUGGGAAUGUGGCUUCUUUCUUCGGGAGGGAGUGUUAUAGCCCAGGGGAAUACUGCCAGCUGGGACUGAGGUAUGCGACAUUUUGUCAAGGAUGUUGGCAUAAUGGUUAUAUGCCGCCCGUCUUGAAACACGGACCAAGGAGUCUAACGUCUAUGCAAGUGUUUGGGUGUGAAACCCGUACGCGUAAUGAAAGUGAAC
This 903-nucleotide ribosomal RNA is filed under the name Zygosaccharomyces rouxii. Its description in RNAcentral is "LSU rRNA". The stretch from base 181 to 903 matches the Rfam family "Eukaryotic large subunit ribosomal RNA", at positions 1 to 730 of the family's 3401-position model. The record is from RNAcentral. Lineage: Eukaryota; Fungi; Ascomycota; Saccharomycetes; Saccharomycetales; Saccharomycetaceae.